This 235-nucleotide ribosomal RNA is filed under the name uncultured bacterium. Its description in RNAcentral is "partial 16S ribosomal RNA". It matches the Rfam family "Bacterial small subunit ribosomal RNA", at positions 99 to 334 of the family's 1533-position model. The record is from RNAcentral.
CGGACGGGUGAGUAACGCGUGGAUAACCUGCCUCACACUGGGGGAUAACAGUUAGAAAUGACUGCUAAUACCGCAUGGGCGCACAGUACCGCAUGGUACGGUGUGAAAAACUCCGGUGGUGUGAGAUGGAUCCGCGUCUGAUUAGCCAGUUGGCGGGGUAACGGCCCACCAAAGCGACGAUCAGUAGCCGACCUGAGAGGGUGACCGGCCACAUUGGGACUGAGACACGGCCCAA